Molecule: ribosomal RNA, 573 nt
Filed under: uncultured bacterium
Lineage: Bacteria
Description: partial 16S ribosomal RNA
Rfam family: Bacterial small subunit ribosomal RNA
Source: RNAcentral
UGGGGAAUUUUGGACAAUGGGGGAAACCCUGAUCCAGCCAUCCCGCGUGUGCGAUGAAGGCCUUCGGGUUGUAAAGCACUUUUGGCAGGAAAGAAACGUCGCGGGUUAAUACCCCGCGAAACUGACGGUACCUGCAGAAUAAGCACCGGCUAACUACGUGCCAGCAGCCGCGGUAAUACGUAGGGUGCAAGCGUUAAUCGGAAUUACUGGGCGUAAAGCGUGCGCAGGCGGUUCGGAAAGAAAGAUGUGAAAUCCCAGAGCUUAACUUUGGAACUGCAUUUUUAACUACCGGGCUAGAGUGUGUCAGAGGGAGGUGGAAUUCCGCGUGUAGCAGUGAAAUGCGUAGAUAUGCGGAGGAACACCGAUGGCGAAGGCAGCCUCCUGGGAUAACACUGACGCUCAUGCACGAAAGCGUGGGGAGCAAACAGGAUUAGAUACCCUGGUAGUCCACGCCCUAAACGAUGUCAACUAGCUGUUGGGGCCUUCGGGCCUUGGUAGCACAGCUAACGCGUGAAGUUGACCGCCUGGGGAGUACGGUCGCAAGAUUAAAACUCAAAUGAAUUGACGGGGUCG